UACGACGGGGGCUAGCGUUGUUCGGAAUCACUGGGCGUAAAGCGCACGUAGGCGGAUCUUUAAGUCAGCGGUGAAAUCCCAAGGCUCAACCUUGGAACUGCCUUUGAUACUGGGGAUCUUGAGUCCGGGAGAGGUGAGUGGAACUGCGAGUGUAGAGGUGAAAUUCGUAGAUAUUCGCAAGAACACCAGUGGCGAAGGCGGCUCACUGGCCCGGUACUGACGCUGAGGUGCGAAAGCGUGGGGAGCAAACAGG
This 253-nucleotide ribosomal RNA is filed under the name uncultured bacterium. RNAcentral describes it as "partial 16S ribosomal RNA". It matches the Rfam family "Bacterial small subunit ribosomal RNA", at positions 524 to 776 of the family's 1533-position model. The record is from RNAcentral.